AACGAACGCUGGCGGCAGGCCUAACACAUGCAAGUCGAGCGCUACCUUCGGGUGGAGCGGCGGACGGGUUAGUAACGCGUGGGAAUAUACCCAGUUCUAAGGAAUAGCCGCUGGAAACGGUGAGUAAUACCUUAUACGCCCUUCGGGGGAAAGAUUUAUCGGAAUUGGAUUAGCCCGCGUUAGAUUAGAUAGUUGGUGGGGUAAUGGCCUACCAAGUCUACGAUCCAUAGCUGGUUUGAGAGGAUGAUCAGCAACACUGGGACUGAGACACGGCCCAGACUCUUACGGGAGGCAGCAGUGGGGAAUCUUAGACAAUGGGCGCAAGCCUGAUCUAGCCAUGCCGCGUGAGUGAUGAAGGCCCUAGGGUCGUAAAGCUCUUUCACCGGUGAAGAUAAUGACGGUACCAGUAGAAGAAACCCCGGCUAACUCCGUGCCAGCAGCCGCGGUAAUACGGAGGGGGCUAGCGUUGUUCGGAAUUACUGGGCGUAAAGCGUACGUAGGCGGAUUAAUAAGUUAGAGGUGAAAUCCCAGGGCUCAACCCUGGAACUGCCUUUAAAACUGUUAGUCUUGAGUUCGAGAGAGGUGAGUGGAAUUCCAAGUGUAGAGGUGAAAUUCGUAGAUAUUUGGAGGAACACCAGUGGCGAAGGCGGCUCACUGGCUCGAUACUGACGCUGAG
RNAcentral lists this ribosomal RNA (676 nucleotides) under bacterium IMCC8613. RNAcentral describes it as "bacterial SSU rRNA". It matches the Rfam family "Bacterial small subunit ribosomal RNA", at positions 28 to 750 of the family's 1533-position model. The record is from RNAcentral.